RNAcentral lists this long non-coding RNA (1406 nucleotides) under Phoenix dactylifera (date palm). Its description in RNAcentral is "long non-coding RNA (PDAC_LNC007401)". Lineage: Eukaryota; Viridiplantae; Streptophyta; Magnoliopsida; Arecales; Arecaceae. The record is from RNAcentral.
AAAGAGGAGGAGGAGGAGGCCUGGCCGCGGCCGCCGCCGGCCUCGGCCGGCUUUCCUCCCGAGCUCGCCCUCCUCCCUUCUCGGGAGAAGGGAGGAGAAGAAAAGGGGGAUAUCCCCUUUCCCUCUUCGCGGGAGGAGAAAAGACAGAGGAGAGGUUUGAGAAGAAGUUGGGGGAAGAAAAGGAAGGAGAGGGGAGGUCUCGGGAAGAAACAGAGAAGGAAAGAAAAGAAAAAGAGAAGGAAAGAAAAGAAAAAAAAAAGAAAAAGAAAGAAAAGAAAAAAUACAUAAAUUAAUAGUCAAUAAAUAAAUAAAAAUUUAAGAUAAUAAAUAAAUAUAAAUAAAAUAAAAUAAUAAUAUUAGUCCUACCAUUGGGCUUGGUUCGAGCUACAGUUCCUUUUAAACCCAAACUAAUUUGGGUUCGGAAUUGGACUUGAGCCGAGCCAAAGAAAAAAGGUAUUUGGGCUACGGAACUGAUUGUAAACUUAUUAUUUAAGUUACUGUGCCUGAAUAAAAACAAGCACAGUGACUGAAUUAGGCCAAGGGACUGUUCCAGAAAUUAAUUAAGUUCUGGGCCUAAAUGCAAGUAGGCCUAGUAACUGAAUCCGACCAGGGUCCUGAUCCAGAAUUGAAUAAACUUUGGGCCUAAAUGUAAAUGAGCCUAGACCUAAAUCAAAAAACUGACUAGACCUGAACUAAGAAUUGAUUAGACCUAAAUCAGAAAUUUGACUCGAUCUGAACCAGAAAUUUCGGUCAGACCUGAAUCAAAAAAAGGCUGCAAUUUUUUCUUGGCUCAUGUCGAUUUCUUGUUUUUGUUGUUAAAACCCUACCAACCACAAAUUUACCAAGGAAAAAAUUGUUAGUGAUUAAGUGAUGUGCCUUCAUGGUGACUGCUUGUCAAUUGAUUGAAUUUAGAUUCCAUUGUAAAAUCGACACAUGAAGAGAAAAUUUUCUACUUAGUUUAUUAUAAUAGAAGAUUGGCGAAUUCUUUUUCUAUAUCUUACAAUACCCACAUGUGCUAAGGAGGGUUGGUGGGGGAUGGGGGGUGGUUGGAUGGGGUUGAGGGGUGUUAGAAGUAUGCCCUAGAAGCCAAUUUGGCUGACACAUUAUUUUAUUCUGGGACAUAAAUUUGUACUUGACCUAAUUAUGAAUUUAUUAAGUUGGGCAUUCUUUUCAUUCAUGUUCUUAUAUGUCCAUGAAUCGUCUAAGGAAUUAAUAAGAUGAUGACGCAUAUUCUCAAGAGUUGAGAAUUUGAGGCAUGUGUUAUUGGUGAUUAAUUCCUGAAUUGCUCCUGAUCGAUGGAUCAUCAUGAGGACGGUGAUUGAUCCACUGAGAUUAGUAUACAGAUUGCUUUCUUUGAUGGACGAGUCUUGAGUCCACAAUGUGGGGACACUGGAGCAAUUGUGCNN